GCCGGCAACCAGAGGCGGGGCCGAGGCAACAGCCGGGGCGCUGUCCGCAGUGGGGAUGGCGACGCGGACCACGGCUGCCCCUCUGCCCACCUCAGUGGGCCUGUGCAUCUGGGCUGCCUCGCCUGCAGGUUUCCGCUCAGUUCAGGGGAGGCGGGUGCGGGAGGGAGCAGAGCCCGUCAGACCCCACAGGGACACGUUACAGGCACAUUGCCACUGAUGCCCUCAAAAUACGCCUUCCUUCAAGCACACUCAUCCCAUCACCUUGCCCCUGUCUGGAGCAGCUCUGGAGCCCUCCUUUGCAAGUCUCUGCGGCUGCCUCCUGUUUUGAAUCAAUGGAAAACACAGCAGUUUCUGUCGAGUAUAAAUGUUGCAGUGAGUCCUCGUCACCUUGUUCACCGGAUCUGGCACCACGUGACUCUCAGUCCUCCCCAGAGCCAAAAUGAUCACGAAAGGGAAACGUUUUAAAUCGACUCAGGCCAUCCAGGCAGCCAGGACAGCACAACUACGGGCAAUUACAGACGAGGCCUCCAGAGCUGCUGCAGACAGUGCCAAGUGAGACGCCUGCUGCUACCACACACGCCUGCACCAUCAACAUACAAAGAGAAACGGCUUACUGCACCUCAGUCUCAAAGGCUGUGUUCAGGACUGGGUGGCCCUGCAGCCAUGGGGCCCGGGACAAGGCACCAGGACAUCAAAACUGCUCACCUCACAGUGGCCAGGAAGCAACGGAGAGGAGACGGCCAGCGUCUCACGGUCCCUUUCAGGAGCGCCCCUUGAUCAACACAAGCUCUCCAGGCACCACCUCAAAGGUUUUAGCACUUGCAGCAGUGCCACACUGAGUCCAUCCUCUAAUCUCGGGUCUCAGGGGACAUUCCAGAUCCAAACUGUCCAUCUGCCACCUGCUCCUGCAGGGACCCUUGCCAGCCAGGCCUGGCCUCACCGAGAGCUCUGCUCCUGGCCCCUGAGGGCUCCAUGGCCUCAGCAGGGACCAGGCUGCUCCUGCCCCCGAGGCUCAGCUGCCUGUCCUCGCUUGCAAGCUCAGGACAGUGUGCUGAAGGCCCCGGUGUCACUCCUGAGCUGGGCCCCCACUCACUGGGCAUCUACUGAAGAAAACUCAGCCCCUCCCACAUCAACCUCCUGAGGAAGGCGACUUCCACGCGCAGAUGCCGCCAACGGCAGUGCUUGCCUGCGGUGUCUCUGUGUGGAGGCCUUGGCUACCUCUUCCAACAGCUCUGAGGGCAGGCGGCACGGAUUCCAUGCUUGCUGAGGGUGACAUGCUAGGACUGGAAUGCGCCCACCUGCCUCCUGACCCUGACCUCUGCUGCUCUACUCUGUCCAGAUGAUUCAGAGGAGCGAAAUGUCCGGCACCUCCAGGGAAAUUUGCCUUUUUUUUCUUUUUAUAAAAUUCAG
Molecule: long non-coding RNA, 1410 nt
Filed under: Heterocephalus glaber (naked mole-rat)
Lineage: Eukaryota; Metazoa; Chordata; Mammalia; Rodentia; Bathyergidae
Description: lncRNA (ENSHGLG00100045127.1)
Source: RNAcentral